ACGGGUGAGUAAUAUAUCGGAACGUGCCCUAGAGUGGGGGAUAACUAGUCGAAAGACUAGCUAAUACCGCAUACGAUCUACGGAUGAAAGUGGGGGAUCGCAAGACCUCAUGCUCCUGGAGCGGCCGAUAUCUGAUUAGCUAGUUGGUGGGGUAAAAGCCUACCAAGGCAACGAUCAGUAGCUGGUCUGAGAGGACGACCAGCCACACUGGGACUGAGACACGGCCCAGACUCCUACGGGAGGCAGCAGUGGGGAAUUUUGGACAAUGGGGGCAACCCUGAUCCAGCAAUGCCGCGUGAGUGAAGAAGGCCUUCGGGUUGUAAAGCUCUUUUGUCAGGGAAGAAACGGUAGUAGCGAAUAACUAUUACUAAUGACGGUACCUGAAGAAUAAGCACCGGCUAACUACGUGCCAGCAGCCGCGGUAAUACGUAGGGUGCAAGCGUUAAUCGGAAUUACUGGGCGUAAAGCGUGCGCAGGCGGUUGUGUAAGUCAGAUGUGAAAUCCCCGGGCUCAACCUGGGAAUUGCAUUUGAGACUGCACGGCUAGAGUGUGUCAGAGGGGGGUAGAAUUCCACGUGUAGC
Molecule: ribosomal RNA, 581 nt
Filed under: uncultured bacterium
Lineage: Bacteria
Description: bacterial SSU rRNA
Rfam family: Bacterial small subunit ribosomal RNA
Source: RNAcentral